This 465-nucleotide ribosomal RNA is filed under the name unidentified. Its description in RNAcentral is "Ethusina sp. partial 16S ribosomal RNA". It matches the Rfam family "Bacterial large subunit ribosomal RNA", at positions 1927 to 2598 of the family's 2925-position model. The record is from RNAcentral.
AUAGCUGCGGUAUUUUGACCGUACAAAGGUAGCAUAGUCAUUAGCUUUUUAAUUGAGAGCUUGUAUGAAUGGUUUGACGAAAAAAAGACUGUCUUUAUUAUAAAAUUUGAAUUUAACUUUUAAGUGAAAAGGCUUAGAUGGUUUAGGGGGACGAUAAGACCCUGUAAAGCUUUAUUUGCGGUCAAAAUUUUAUUUAAUUAAUCAUAUAACCGUUUUAGUUGGGCGGUAUAUUUAGUUGGGGCGACACAAGUAUAAUUUUAUGUAACUGCUUGAAUUAUUUACACGAAUCCGUGGAAACUAAAGAUCCUUAGUAAAGAUUAAAAGAUCAAGUUACUUCAGGGAUAACAGCGUUAUUUCUUUUGAGAGUUCCUAUCGAAAUAGAAGAUUACGACCUCGAUGUUGAAUUAAAAUGUCUUUGUGGUGUAGCCGCUACAUAAGAAGGUCUGUUCGACCUUUAAAUUUUUA